RNAcentral lists this ribosomal RNA (862 nucleotides) under uncultured archaeon. RNAcentral describes it as "bacterial SSU rRNA". It matches the Rfam family "Archaeal small subunit ribosomal RNA", at positions 21 to 903 of the family's 1478-position model. The record is from RNAcentral.
GGCGACCGCUUUGGGAGUUCGAUUAAGCCAUGCGAGUCGUGAGUCUUAGGGACUCGGCAUACUGCUCAGUAACACGUGGAUAACCUGCCCUAUCGUUCGGAAUAACCUCGGGAAACUGAGAAUAAGGCCGGAUAGUUUACAAUGCCUGGAACGGUUUGUGAAUCAAGGUAGGAUGGGUCUGCGGCGUAUCAGGUUGUAGGGGGUGUAAAGGACCCCCUAGCCUUCGACGCGUACGGGUGUUGGGAGACAUAGCCCGGAGAUGGAUUCUGAGACACGAAUCCAGACCCUACGGGGUGCAGCAGGCGCGAAAACUUCACACUGCAGGAAACUGUGAUGAGGGAACUCCUAGUGCAUGCACUAUGUGUAUGUAGAUCCUACUCUUAACAAGUAGAGGGAAAGGGCUGGGAAAGACCGGUGCCAGCCGCCGCGGUAAUACCGGCAGCUCAAGUGGUCGUCGCUUUUAUUGGGCCUAAAACGUCCGUAGCCUGUUUGGUAAAUCUGUGGGUAAAUCAAUCCGCUCAACGGAUUGAAUUCUGCAGAGACUGCCAGACUAGGGACCGGGAGAGGUGUGGGGUACUCGAGGGGUAGGGGUAAAAUCCUGUCAUCCUUCGAGGACCACCAGUUGCGAAGGCGCCACACUGGAACGGAUCCGACGGUCUGGGACGAAGCCUAGGGGCACGAACCGGAUUAGAUACCCGGGUAGUCCUAGGUGUAAACGCUGUGAACUUGGUGUCGGGGGUCCGCAAGGGGUCCCCGGUGCCGGAGUGAAGAUGUUAAGUUCACUGCCUGGGGAGUACGGUCGCAAGGCUGAAACUUAAAGGAAUUGGCGGGGGAGCACUGCAACGGGAGGAGCGUGCGGUUU